UAUUUUUAGUAGAGACGGGGUUUCGCCAUGUUGACCAGGCUGGUCUCGAACUCCAGACCUCAUGUGAUCCGCCCGCCUCGGCCUCCCAAAGUGCUGGGAAUACAGGCUGUUUAGCUUUUGAUAGAGAAAAAUCCCCCUCUGCUAAAGUGCUGCCAGGUGUACUUACCUGUAAUCCCCAAAAUGACCACCUCGAGUGAAGCAAUCAAAGCCAAGAAGAGAGCGCCGAGAAAACAGAAGUUGCCAAUCAGAACUGCCCUUGCUGAGAUGCCCCGUUACAGUCAUUAGUAGUAAUAAUGGGCUUUUCUUCCUCCAGUUUUCCUUCCAGCGGGGUGGAUGGGGAGCAUCGCUGGCUGACAAGCUGGUCAGAAAAUGUGAUGUUCUGAAUCGUGGAUUUUCAGGUUACAAUACCAGAUGGGCCAAAAUUAUCCUUCCAAGAUUAAUCAGGAAAGGAAACAGUUUGGACAUCCCAGUAGCAGUUACAAUUUUCUUUGGGGCCAAUGACAGUGCACUAAAAGAUGAGAAUCCCAAGCAGCACAUUCCCCUGGAGGAGUAUGCUGCGAAUUUAAAGAGCAUGGUGCAGUACCUGAAGUCUGUGGACAUCCCUGAGAAUCGAGUCAUUCUCAUCACGCCGACCCCACUUUGUGAAACAGCCUGGGAAAAACAGUGCAUCAUACAAGGUUGCAAACUAAAUCGCCUGAACUCUGUUGUUGGUGAAUAUGCCAAUGCGUGUUUACAAGUGGCCCAAGACUGUGGGACUG
Molecule: small RNA, 758 nt
Filed under: Pongo abelii (Sumatran orangutan)
Lineage: Eukaryota; Metazoa; Chordata; Mammalia; Primates; Hominidae
Description: processed transcript
Source: RNAcentral